This 468-nucleotide ribosomal RNA is filed under the name uncultured bacterium. RNAcentral describes it as "partial 16S ribosomal RNA". It matches the Rfam family "Bacterial small subunit ribosomal RNA", at positions 28 to 507 of the family's 1533-position model. The record is from RNAcentral.
GACGAACGCUGGCGGCGUGCUUAACACAUGCAAGUCGAACGGGAAGGACCUGGUUUUGUGGGGGGCUCGAGUGGCGAACGGGUGAGUAACGCGUGAGUAACCUGCCCUGGACUCUGGGAUAACUGCAGGAAACUGGGGCUAAUACCGGAUAAGAGGUCCGGCCGCAUGGGGGGUGUUGGAAAGUUUCGGCGGUGGGUGAGGGCCUCGCGGCGUAUCAGCUUGUUGGUGGGGUAGUGGCUUACCACGGCUUUGACGUGUAGCCGGCCUGAGGGGGUGACCGGCCACAGUGGGACAGAGAUACGGCCCAGACUCCUGCGGGAGGCAGCAGUGGGGAAUAUUGCAAAAUGGGAGGAAGCCUGAUGCAGCAGCGCCGCGUGCGGGAAGACGGCCUUCGUUUUAUAGCCCGCUUUCGCCUGUGACGAAGCGUGAGUGACGGUAAUGGGUAAAGAAGCACGGGCUAAGUACGUG